RNAcentral lists this long non-coding RNA (608 nucleotides) under Homo sapiens (human). Its description in RNAcentral is "HSALNT0378490". The record is from RNAcentral. Lineage: Eukaryota; Metazoa; Chordata; Mammalia; Primates; Hominidae.
CUACUCCUGAAUGUCUAAAGAACUCUCAAUGCAUAUUAGCCAUCACCAUGGUUGAGACCCAGACCUCUGCAGAGACAAUCUUGAUCCUCUGGCUCCUGCUUCACAUUGCCCAUUCACCCUCAGCACUGAAAUCCUUACCUCAAGCGCUGGGAAUUCAGGCCAUGGAAGAUUAGGAGGCUCACAGCAGGUUGCUUUGCCCUUUUUUUCCCUAUUCCUUUUUGCAUUUUCUUCUGGGUCUCUCAAAGGCCAUCUAAUUCUUCUCUGUCAUAUGCAUAGAUUUUGGGAACUACUUUGUUUCCUAAGCAUGCCCCUGAGAGGACUCACCCCUUACCCCCAGCAGCUUAUCAAAGUAUUUUUGUAUUUCUGUCAAACUAGUGGAAUGCUGCUCCAAGAAGAAUUCUGAUUACAUUUUUCCAUGUCGUUGUUAUGGAAGCUGUAUCUAUAUAAAGUGGGAAGAUGCCAAUAAGGGUCCUUGCUCCUUGAGUAUUCUGAACUCCCCGAGAGCGGCAACCCAUAUCUUAACUCUCUUUGCAUCAACAGAGCCCAAUACAAUGCCUGGCACAGAGUAAGCCUCAAAUAUGUCUAUGAUAUAAAUUUUCUAAUAAAAU